This is a small nucleolar RNA of Delphinapterus leucas (beluga whale), 133 nucleotides long. Its record names the gene SNORA72. It matches the Rfam family "Small nucleolar RNA SNORA72". From Rfam's summary of the family: U72 is a member of the H/ACA class of snoRNAs. The record is from Ensembl. NCBI's taxonomy places the organism in Eukaryota, Metazoa, Chordata, Mammalia, Artiodactyla, Monodontidae.
AGGAGGAUAAAGUGACUUGUAUAAGAUGAUAGAGGUUCAGGGCAGGCUAAACAUUCACUAUAUUAAGAUCAUGCAUGUGUCCCCAGACCUAGUUCUUUUCUUAGGUCUGGUUGUAUAAAUGCUGGUGAUAAAG